Molecule: ribosomal RNA, 510 nt
Filed under: uncultured bacterium
Lineage: Bacteria
Description: partial 16S ribosomal RNA
Rfam family: Bacterial small subunit ribosomal RNA
Source: RNAcentral
GACGAACGCUGGCGGCGUGCUUAACACAUGCAAGUCGAACGAAGAGCGAUGGAAGCUUGCUUCUAUCAAUCUUAGUGGCGAACGGGUGAGUAACGCGUAAUCAACCUGCCCUUCAGAGGGGGACAACAGUUGGAAACGACUGCUAAUACCGCAUACGAUCUAAUCUCGGCAUCGAGGAUAGAUGAAAGGUGGCCUCUACAUGUAAGCUAUCACUGAAGGAGGGGAUUGCGUCUGAUUAGCUAGUUGGAGGGGUAACGGCCCACCAAGGCGAUGAUCAGUAGCCGGUCUGAGAGGAUGAACGGCCACAUUGGGAAUGAGACACGGCCCAGACUCCUACGGGAGGCAGCAGUGGGGAAUCUUCCGCAAUGGACGAAAGUCUGACGGAGCAACGCCGCGUGAGUGAUGACGGCCUUCGGGUUGUAAAGCUCUGUUAAUCGGGACGAAAGGCCUUCUUGCGAAUAGUGAGAAGGAUUGACGGUACCGGUAUAGAAAGCCACGGCUAACUACGUG